AGUGAACGCUGGCGGUAGGCCUAACACAUGCAAGUCGAACGGCAGCACAGUAAGAGCUUGCUCUUACGGGUGGCGAGUGGCGGACGGGUGAGGAAUACAUCGGAAUCUACUUUUUCGUGGGGGAUAACGUAGGGAAACUUACGCUAAUACCGCAUACGACCUACGGGUGAAAGCAGGGGAUCUUCGGACCUUGCGCGAUUGAAUGAGCCGAUGUCGGAUUAGCUAGUUGGCGGGGUAAAGGCCCACCAAGGCGACGAUCCGUAGCUGGUCUGAGAGGAUGAUCAGCCACACUGGAACUGAGACACGGUCCAGACUCCUACGGGAGGCAGCAGUGGGGAAUAUUGGACAAUGGGCGCAAGCCUGAUCCAGCCAUACCGCGUGGGUGAAGAAGGCCUUCGGGUUGUAAAGCCCUUUUGUUGGGAAAGAAGAGCAGCAGGUUAAUACCCCGCUGUUCUGACGGUACCCAAAGAAUAGGCACCGGCUAACUUCGUG
This 492-nucleotide ribosomal RNA is filed under the name uncultured bacterium. RNAcentral describes it as "partial 16S ribosomal RNA". It matches the Rfam family "Bacterial small subunit ribosomal RNA", at positions 29 to 507 of the family's 1533-position model. The record is from RNAcentral.